AAAGGUGGGUUUAUGGUGAGUUUUUUGGAGCAGUUCCAUUAAGCGAAACCAUGGAAGAUGAAAGGCGGUUGUACUGGCUCAACGGCCUUGCUCACAUAGCCGGAACCAUCAAUAAAGAGCCAACCCGGUGUAUUUAUAGCGUUCACAGGCAACAGAAUAUGCCGUUACAUGAUAGGAUCGUACCUUACUUGGAAAGGGCUGGGUUGUACCACCUGGCUAGGUUGAACGCGCAUUGGUUCUGGUUGAAUGAGCCUCUGGUCAGCGCAUUUAUCGAGAGGUGAUGGCCUGAGACUCACACUUUCCAUAUGCCGUUCGGAGAGUAUACUAUCACGCUCCAGGAUGUGGCAUAUCAGCUGGGGCUGCCCAUGAAUGACCAGCCUAUUUCUGGGUACAUGACUGACUUCCACCUGCAUAUCGAGGGGACCAGACCGGCGUGGGAGUGGUUUCAGGAGCUAUUUGGUGAGUUUCCGCCACUGGAUAAGAGAAAGUUAUACACAGUCCACUUCACAUGGUUCCAUGAGAGGUUCAAGGUAUUACCGGCUGAUGUUUUCGAGGAGACCGUGCGCAUACAUGCACGUGCGUAUAUUAUGACGCUUCUGUCGACAUAGUUGUUCAUGGACAAGAGUGGUAAUCGGGUCCACCUUUGGUGGUUGUCAUUUGUGGCGAGACUUGACAACAUGGGUAGCUAUAGCUGGGGCUCAGCUGCACUGGCAUGGUUGUACCGAUGCAUGUGUAGGGUGGCAAACAGAAACGUCACCAACUUAGUCAGGCCCCUACAGUUGCUACAGUCAUGGAUCUUUUGGCGGUUCUCCACACUGAGGCCGCAGGGGUUUGACGCUUUUUCUUUUCCGUUGGCAUCCAGAUGGGCCACUUAUUUACCCACGUCUGAUGGGAAGGAACAAAGGACAAUUCAGUAUCGCCUGAC
Molecule: long non-coding RNA, 925 nt
Organism: Arachis duranensis
Lineage: Eukaryota; Viridiplantae; Streptophyta; Magnoliopsida; Fabales; Fabaceae
Exons: 3
Source: RefSeq, a predicted model, not a curated record